CGGGUAGAGUAACACGUGGGUUACCUGCCCCGAUGAUUGGGACAACCCGAGGAAACUCGGGCUAAUACCAAAUGUGCUCCUGGCCGUAAUGGCCUUGAGGAAAGGAAGCUUCGGCCUCCGCAUCGGGAUGGGCCCGCGGCCCAUUAGCUUGUUGGUGGGGUAAUGGCCUACCAAGGCGACGAUGGGUAGCUGGUCUGAGAGGACGAUCAGCCACACUGGGACUGAGACACGGCCCAG
This 237-nucleotide ribosomal RNA is filed under the name uncultured bacterium. RNAcentral's name for it is "partial 16S ribosomal RNA". It matches the Rfam family "Bacterial small subunit ribosomal RNA", at positions 103 to 334 of the family's 1533-position model. The record is from RNAcentral.